AGAGCACUAGCCUUGAGUGAAAGAACUCAGGGACAGCACCCAGGCUCUGAGUUCAAGCCCCACAACUGACCAAAAAAAAUAUGUUAUUUCACUGGAUCUUAUUUCACAAUUUCCUUGUAAGAUCUUCUAGUUUCUCUGCUAAAGAGUGGCUCACCUGUGCAUGUUCAGCAUAAACAAGAAGGAUCAUUAUCCCAACAGAUGAGGAGAUGAGGUGAAGUUCUCUUCACCAUGGGGAGUUUUUUCUUUUUCUUUUUCUUUUU
Molecule: long non-coding RNA, 260 nt
Organism: Perognathus longimembris pacificus (Pacific pocket mouse)
Lineage: Eukaryota; Metazoa; Chordata; Mammalia; Rodentia; Heteromyidae
Exons: 2
Source: RefSeq, a predicted model, not a curated record